Molecule: ribosomal RNA, 554 nt
Filed under: uncultured archaeon
Lineage: Archaea
Description: bacterial SSU rRNA
Rfam family: Archaeal small subunit ribosomal RNA
Source: RNAcentral
ACGGGGAGCAGCAGGCGCGAAACCUUUACACUGCACGACAGUGCGAUAGGGGGACUCCGAGUGCGAGGGCAUACAGUCCUCGCUUUUCUGUACCGUAAGGUGGUACAGGAACAAGUGCUGGGCAAGACCGGUGCCAGCCGCCGCGGUAAUACCGGCAGCACGAGUGAUGGCCGCUCUUAUUGGGCCUAAAGCGUUCGUAGCCGGCCGGACAAGUCCGUUGGGAAAUCUGCGCGCUUAACGCGCAGGCGGCCAGCGGAAACUGUCCGGCUUGGGGCCGGAAGACUCGAGGGGUACGUCCAGGGUAGGAGUGAAAUCCCAUAAUCCUGGACGGACCGCCGGUGGCGAAAGCGCCUCGGAAGGACGGACCCGACGGUGAGGGACGAAAGCUAGGGUCACGAACCGGAUUAGAUACCCGGGUAGUCCUAGCCGUAAACGAUGCCCACUAGGUGUGGCACCGGCUACGAGCCGGUGCUGUGCCGUAGCGAAGGCGAGAAGUGGGCCGCCUGGGAAGUACGUCCGCAAGGAUGAAACUUAAAGGAAUUGGCGGGGGAGCA